This 236-nucleotide ribosomal RNA is filed under the name uncultured bacterium. Its description in RNAcentral is "partial 16S ribosomal RNA". It matches the Rfam family "Bacterial small subunit ribosomal RNA", at positions 98 to 334 of the family's 1533-position model. The record is from RNAcentral.
CCGUACGGGUGAGUAACACGUAUCCAACCUGCCGUCUACUCUUGGACAGCCUUCUGAAAGGAAGAUUAAUACAAGAUGGCAUCAUGAGUCCGCAUGUUCACAUGAUUAAAGGUAUUCCGGUAGACGAUGGGGAUGCGUUCCAUUAGAUAGUAGGCGGGGUAACGGCCCACCUAGUCUUCGAUGGAUAGGGGUUCUGAGAGGAAGGUCCCCCACAUUGGAACUGAGACACGGUCCAA